AGAGUUUGAUUAUGGCUCAGGAUGAACGCUAGCUACAGGCUUAACACAUGCAAGUCGAGCGGGACUCUUCGGGAGUCUAGCGGCAGACGGGUGAGUAACACGUAUCCAACCUUUCCCUUACUCGGGUAUAGCCUCGGGAAACUGAGAGUAAUCCCCGAUGUGGUGCACGAACAGCAUUAUUUGCGCACGAAAGAUUUAUCGGUAAGGGGUGGGGAUGCGUUCCAUUAGGUAGUAGGCGGGGCAACGGCCCACCUAGCCGAUGAUGGAUAGGGGUUCUGAGAGGAAGGUCCCCCACAUUGGAACUGCGACACGGUCCAAACUCCUACGGGAGGCAGCAGUGAGGAAUAUUGGUCAAUGGCCGGAAGGCUGAACCAGCCAAGUAGCGUGCAGGAUGAACCGGCCCUAUGGGUUGUAAACUGCUUUUAUGCGGGAAUAACGUUCGCCACGUGUGGUGAAGUGCAUGUACCGCAUGAAUAAGGAUCGGCUAACUCCGUGCCAGCAGCCGC
RNAcentral lists this ribosomal RNA (506 nucleotides) under uncultured bacterium. Its description in RNAcentral is "bacterial SSU rRNA". It matches the Rfam family "Bacterial small subunit ribosomal RNA", at positions 8 to 518 of the family's 1533-position model. The record is from RNAcentral.